AACGGAGUUCUUAAGGAAUGCGACUUCGGUCAAAUGACUUUUGAACUUAGUGGCGGACGGGUGAGUAACGCGUGAGCAACCUGCCUUUCAGAGGGGGAUAACAUUUGGAAACAGAUGCUAAUACCGCAUAAGAUUACAGUACCGCAUGAUACAGUGAUCAAAGGAGCAAUCCGCUGAAAGAUGGGCUCGCGUCCGAUUAGAUAGUUGGUGAGGUAACGGCUCACCAAGUCGACGAUCGGUAGCCGGACUGAGAGGUUGAACGGCCACAUUGGGACUGAGACACGGCCCAGACUCCUACGGGAGGCAGCAGUGGGGAAUAUUGCACAAUGGGCGAAAGCUUGAUGCAGCAACGCCGCGUGAGGGAAGACGGUUUUCGGAUUGUAAACCUCUGUUUUCGGUGACGAAUAAAUGACGGUAACCGAGUAGGAAGCCACGGCUAA
RNAcentral lists this ribosomal RNA (440 nucleotides) under uncultured bacterium. Its description in RNAcentral is "bacterial SSU rRNA". It matches the Rfam family "Bacterial small subunit ribosomal RNA", at positions 39 to 500 of the family's 1533-position model. The record is from RNAcentral.